UUGUCUAGGGUCUACACACUUUCUUUGAAAGCAUGUGACUCACAACACGACCAGAGGAGAAGGCACAAUGAUCGAAGCUGCAGGAGCUGCGGGCCCGGCACCACACUCUUCCAUUCAUGUGCGCAAUGAUCCGUGAAGGACACAAAAACAUAGUCCAAGCACUUGUGCUGGACCAGAGGGGACUGCAUAUGCGUGGUGGGAGGGUUCGUGGUGGAGUACCGGGACCAGUUGGCCAAGAACGAGGAUGGAGCAGUGGAUGUGGGAGGACUGCUGCUGCUGCCGCUGCUGAUGAUGAUGUGAUGUGGAGUUGACGCCGUUCAUUUUCUGAUUGUGUGGAAAGUCGCAUGCUGUAGUUGGCGGAGACGCACAGAGAGGUGAUUCACUUAAAAAAAUGACACCAUCUGACCGCAUGACACGCGACAUAGGAUGUGACCAAAAGUGUCAGGAAAAAUGUUGCUCGGGAAAAAUUCUCAAAAUGCUGUAACUUGAUAAGACACAUGCAGGAAAGAUAGAAUGUUGUAUGUUUUUUAAAAGUUUGCAGCUAAACCGUUCACCAUGUCAUGACACGCGAAAGUAGGAUUAUGUCGGAAAAAAAAACCAAAAGGUCAAAGAGUUUUGUAUACAAAUGUCAGCAUUUGACCAGAAAAAGACAGGAAAAGUUCAGAUACUUUAAAAAAAAAACAUUCUAAAAAUGUUCUCUAAAUAUCCUAAAUAGACGAGGGACUUGAUACAAACUGGAAAGAUACAAAUUUGGGAAAUGCUAGUUAACAAAUCGUUUAGACAAAUGUAUGUAUGUAUUAUCAUUAGACCAGGAAUGACACGAAGAGUUAAGAGUAUGACAAGUCAUAAAAAAAAAGUUGUGAAAAUGUUCUCGGAAUGCCUUAAGUUGAAGAGAAACAUGGAGGAAAAUAAAGAAAGGUGAAAAGUAGUUGUACAAAAGCUUUUGUGAAGUUGUGUAGUUGUUGAUGUAAUGUGAUAAGAAACAUGCAGGACAAGAUAAAAUGUAUGAAAAAUUGUUUUACAAAGAAAUUGGGCAAAAUGUUGUAGUUGUUGACCAAAAAUGACAUGAAAAAGUCACAUUUUGACAGAAAAGGCCAAAUGUAAUGAGAAACAUGCAGGAAAAGAGUAGAAUUUCAACCCAAACCCUGGUAAAAGUUGUUAUUUUGUGGCCAAAAAUGUGAAGAUGACAGAAAGAUCACAUUGUGACAUAAGGUUUGUUGGGAAGAAAAGGUAAAAGAAUGUUCUUUAAAUGCCCUGAAUAUUUGAAAGACAUGCAGGAAGAUACAGUAUUGAGAAGUAGUUGUACAAAAGUUUUCAUCGAAAUUCAGUGGAAUGUGAACAGAAAUGGCACGAAAAGUGCAGAUUUAGGCAAAGUAUGUAAUGGGGGGGGGGAGGGGGGCUGUAAUUAGAUGAGAAACGUGCAGGGAGGGUCAUGUUGGGUUUAGUGCAGUGACGUGCAGUGAGGGUCGUGGCAGGUGAGGUGGUGUGUCCCCUGCCUCCCGUCACUGGUUUAGUGCAGCUGUGUGGUCAGCUGUGGUGAGAGUGUUUGGCAGAUUCCUUCCCUGAACUCCUGCUGGGUGUAUUGGUCUCUGUGAUGACACACGUAACGUUAGGUUUUCCGGCUUCAGUGUUAAUGUUCCGAAAGGAGAUUUCAAACAAACGGGGUUCACAGCAGGGGCUGCAGAAGUUUCUCUAUUGUUUGUAGGCUCAAAGCACAGGAGUAAAAAGUAAAAACUAGUGAAUGCAUUUACCUCCAUGAGUUCCUUGCAGACAUGGAAAUGAUUAACCAAGUGUUUGUUGACCCCCCAUUUGGAAAGGUUAAGCGCGUGGUGCAGAUGUGCGGACAGAAGUGGAGGUCAGGCUGGAGAUCUGCAGCUGGGCGUUCGUGAUUGAGCAUGUGCUUCCUCAAAAUCAGGCAUGGUGGUUUUCCCCCCGAUGAGAAGUUAUUCUUAACAACAAAGGCUUUAAGGACGUGCACGGGCAGACGAUAAGAAAUGGGAGGAAGUUUUCUGUUUGGAACUCGUAGUAGAUGUAAGGUUAAUGUUUGAUGCAGCACAAAGGGCCAGUCUGUGUUAAACACCGCUGUUGUGUUGCCUUAACUGCAGUGGAAUCAUAAAGCAUACGUUUGAAAGGCAGCACAGUAGUAAAGGCUAAAUAAAACCAACCGCUCUACCUGUGGCACUGGAACUGCAGGAUUUCUUAGAGGUGUGUAAGGAUGGACACAUGUAGGUUGUGUAAGAAGAAGUUACCGUCAAAGUAAAUAACAUUUCCUGUGUAAGACGUUUGUGAGGUACCUUGAGGAUGUGAUGCAGUAUAAGCGUUGAAACACAAAGUGCCCAACAGAAGGGUCCACUUUGUAAUUGUUAAGUUGUUAAGGGAAGCAGUGGGAAAGACAGAGGUCAACUGCAGUUGUCGUAGCCGUUGAUGUAGUCCAGAAAGAAGUAAGAGAAACACAGUGCACGAGUAUGAAGUUGAAGGUUCCAAAGCGA
Long non-coding RNA from Cynoglossus semilaevis (tongue sole), 2489 nucleotides. RefSeq lists it as uncharacterized. The record is from RefSeq and is a predicted model, not a curated record. Lineage: Eukaryota; Metazoa; Chordata; Actinopteri; Pleuronectiformes; Cynoglossidae. The transcript is spliced from 2 exons.